GGAGGUUUCGGAUGAUCUAAGCCAUGCGAGUCAUUGUAGUAUACAAGGCAGACGGCUCAGUAACGCGUACUCUUCUAACCUAUGGACGGGAAUAACCUCGGGAAACUGAUCAUAAUGCCCGAUAGAACAUUAUGCCUGGAAUGGUUUAUGUUCCAAAUGAUUCAUCGCCGUAGGAUGGGACUGCGGCCUAUCAGUUUGUUGGUGAGGUAAUGGCCCACCAAGAUUAUUACAGAUACUGCCUCUGAGAGGAGUGGCCCGGAGAUGAGUACUGAGACACGCACCCAGGCCCUAUGGGGCGCAGCAAGCGAGAAAACUUUGCAAUGUGCGAAAGCACGACAAGGUUAAUCCGAGUGUUUUCUGCUAAAGGAACCUUUUGUCGGUCCUAGACCCACCGAUGAAUAAGGAGUGGUCGAGUUCAGGUGUCAGCCGCCGCGGUAAAACCAGCAGCUCCAGUUGCUCAUGAUAGAUUAUUGGGCCUAAAGUAUCCGAAGCCCGCUCUGAUAGGUUUGCGAUAGAUAUGUACGCUCUGCCUGCCAGCUGUCGCGAAUUCCUGAACAUCUCUCUAUCGGCAGAUGUUGACGUUUCUCCGGAGGAAGGGGCCGAAUUCCUUGAUCUAUUGAUGACCACCUGUGUGGCAGGUGGUCUCCCACUACACGUCCGACGGUGACGGAGUGACGGUGGCGUAUACAACCGGAGUAGAUACCCUGGUAGCCCCCGCUCUAGACAAUGCUACUUCCGCGAUGUAUUGUUUUGUGUCCAAUGCAUUGCUGCAGUAAUCCGUUAAGUUCUGCGCUGGGG
This 798-nucleotide ribosomal RNA is filed under the name uncultured marine archaeon. RNAcentral's name for it is "bacterial SSU rRNA". It matches the Rfam family "Archaeal small subunit ribosomal RNA", at positions 26 to 832 of the family's 1478-position model. The record is from RNAcentral.